Molecule: ribosomal RNA, 386 nt
Filed under: uncultured prokaryote
Description: bacterial SSU rRNA
Rfam family: Archaeal small subunit ribosomal RNA
Source: RNAcentral
GCGCGAAAACUUUACAAUGCUGGCAACAGCGAUAAGGGAACCUCGAGUGCCAGGUUACAAAUCUGGCUGUCGAGAUGCCUAAAAAGCAUUUCAUAGCAAGGGCCGGGCAAGACCGGUGCCAGCCGCCGCGGUAACACCGGCGGCUCGAGUGGUAACCGUUAUUAUUGGGUCUAAAGGGUCUGUAGCCGGCCGGAUAAGUCUCUUGAGAAAUCUGGCAGCUUAACUGUCAGGCUUUCAGGAGAUACUGUCUGGCUCGAGGCCGGGAGAGGUGAGAGGUACUUCAGGGGUAGGGGUGAAAUCUUGUAAUCCUUGAAGGACCACCAGUGGCGAAGGCAAUUAUCCAUGCCGAGAUUGACGCUGAGGCGCGAAAGCGUGGGGAGCAAACA